AUUUAUUGCAUCUACAACUAAAGUUUCUGUACAAUCCAAGGUUACUUUAUUAUUACUUUGAUCUUUAUUAGAUGGACAAAUAGUGGCCAGUGUCAUCGAGUGUGAAACGUUUAUUUUUUUGAUAAACUUCCAAAUCUCAAUCUUAUAAAAAUGUAUGUAGUUAACUGUGGUAUAGCAGGAAAUUUUCUGCUCAAAAUAAACUGGGGUGCUUUGACCUUUCCAGAAGACCUUCGACCUUUACAGAAGAUCACAGCUAAAUAAUUCUACUUUCAAGCAAUUUUGUCUUCUUGUUGGUGAGUAAAGUGACCAAAGCUCCUGUGUCGGCAACGUAGUUGCUAUGCUUCUGGUGUUGCAGAGGUCUAUAAGCUACGGUAAACUCUUGCCAUCAGCGUGCGGGCUCUUGAUGUAUUGCUCAACGAUUUGCUUCCAGCGACGUCGACAGAGCCAUCCUCGAAAGAAGCUCUUUGAAUACAAGAUAUAUAUUUUCAAAAUAUCCGUAAUUAUUAUUAUAAUCUAAUUUGUUUUAGGUAAACAAUAAGC
Molecule: unclassified non-coding RNA, 540 nt
Filed under: Melitaea cinxia (Glanville fritillary)
Lineage: Eukaryota; Metazoa; Arthropoda; Insecta; Lepidoptera; Nymphalidae
Description: misc RNA ENSMCXG00005016845.1
Source: RNAcentral